AUUUUUCCAUCUCCACAAAUAUUCUUGGUCUCUUCAAAUUAAUUGCUUCUUAAUCCAACUACCAUUUUUCAAGAUUAGUUCGUUUAUAUAAUAUUUAUUUUUGUACCAGUGUUGAUCAAGUAGGUUAUUAUUGUGAGGAAUCAGCAGUAGGAUGCACAUGUAUUUGUUUCUUGCCACUGGUUGCAAAAGCCUAAAAAAUGAUAUGUUUUAUUCACCUCUUAACAGUAAUACGAGUAUUUUGUUUAUUUCCUACUCCCUUUUAGUGUUUACUGAUUAGUCACUCUUAAAGGUGAAUGCAUGUGUAUAAUAGGUGUGUCAUGGCUGCAUUUUGCGGCCCCUGACUACUGGAAAGUAAUCUCCUUUGGAUGAUUUGUAUUUUUUUCUGGAAUUUGUACUUAGAUAGCGCAUCCAAGGAAGGAAGGAGAUUGAGGUUGGCACCUCCUGAAGGCAUGCAUGCUCUUCACCGAGAGAGGGAAGGGCAUCUUUUUCUUGGGUUGCAGUUUCCACCUUGUUGUUGGGUGAGAGCUCUUGUGGAUAAUCAGACAUGGGGUGCAUGGCAAAAUUAGGACAGACUGAAGGCAGCAAAUUCCGCGUUGGCCGUGCACUUUGAGGAGAAGACAUUGUCUUUGUAUAAGUGCCCCUACAAUCAUCUCUUUACAGCAGAGAUAAGGCCUUCAGAUAGAUAUGGCCGCAUAAAUCGCACCGAUGGAUCCAGUCCUUCGCUAGGUCCAACCUACCCUGCACCAGCCUCAAGCACGUUAUUCAGUCAACGCAUAUUCUGUCUUUUGGCAUGUGUAUGCUUGCUCUUGUGCUCAUGUUGUAAUCGUGACCUGUAAUCAGUCCAUGAUCCUUGUGUGACCAGAAGUUGGGCAUAACUGCAUUGUUACUGAGAAGAUGUGAAUAUUAACUUAGGGAUCGGAGCUGAAGCUCUAGCCGAUAGCAAAGAUAUGAAGUCUGUGCUCUGUCUUAUGUUUGCAAGUAUAUUGAUGUAACUUCACAUCUUGAAUGGAGUCACUCCUAUGUGUACUGCCGCUGU
This is a long non-coding RNA of Triticum aestivum (bread wheat), 1036 nucleotides long. RefSeq lists it as uncharacterized. The transcript is spliced from 4 exons. The record is from RefSeq and is a predicted model, not a curated record. NCBI's taxonomy places the organism in Eukaryota, Viridiplantae, Streptophyta, Magnoliopsida, Poales, Poaceae.